Molecule: ribosomal RNA, 468 nt
Filed under: Vibrio parahaemolyticus
Lineage: Bacteria; Pseudomonadati; Pseudomonadota; Gammaproteobacteria; Vibrionales; Vibrionaceae
Description: bacterial SSU rRNA
Rfam family: Bacterial small subunit ribosomal RNA
Source: RNAcentral
GAAGAAGGCCUUCGGGUUGUAAAGCACUUUCAGUCGUGAGGAAGGCGGUGUAGUUAAUAGCUGCAUCGUUUGACGUUAGCGACAGAAGAAGCACCGGCUAACUCCGUGCCAGCAGCCGCGGUAAUACGGAGGGUGCGAGCGUUAAUCGGAAUUACUGGGCGUAAAGCGCAUGCAGGUGGUUUGUUAAGUCAGAUGUGAAAGCCCGGGGCUCAACCUCGGAAUUGCAUUUGAAACUGGCAGACUAGAGUACUGUAGAGGGGGGUAGAAUUUCAGGUGUAGCGGUGAAAUGCGUAGAGAUCUGAAGGAAUACCGGUGGCGAAGGCGGCCCCCUGGACAGAUACUGACACUCAGAUGCGAAAGCGUGGGGAGCAAACAGGAUUAGAUACCCUGGUAGUCCACGCCGUAAACGAUGUCUACUUGGAGGUUGUGGCCUUGAGCCGUGGCUUUCGGAGCUAACGCGUUAAGUAG